This 254-nucleotide ribosomal RNA is filed under the name uncultured bacterium. RNAcentral describes it as "partial 16S ribosomal RNA". It matches the Rfam family "Bacterial small subunit ribosomal RNA", at positions 524 to 776 of the family's 1533-position model. The record is from RNAcentral.
UACGUAGGGUCCAAGCGUUAUCCGGAAUUACUGGGCGUAAAGAGUUGCGUAGGUGGUUUAUUAAGCAGAUAGUGAAAGCACCCCGCUCAACGGGGUAUACAUUAUCUGAACUGGCAGACUAGAGUAUGGGAGAGGUAGCUGGAAUUUCUAGUGUAGGAGUGAAAUCCGUAGAUAUUAGAAGGAACACCGAUGGCGUAGGCAGGCUACUGGCCCAUUACUGACACUAAGGCACGAAAGCGUGGGGAGCGAACUGG